ACUUUCACCAAAAAAAUAUAUCCCUUUCUUCCAGGCGCAUAAACUUUUUCCACGUUCUCCAUCUUCCUUCCUUCCUCCCUUCUUCCACACUCCACGGUUAAGGAUCGCUUUCCUGCAAUCCCAAUCCGAAUUCAAAAGUUCAUACUGAAUUGAAGAUGAUCAAUCCCAAUCCGAAUUUAAGAGUCCAAUCGCAAUCCCUCAAUCCCCUCAAUCCGAAAUUUUACAAAUCCAAAAUAAAAGAGUUCCCUUCAAUCCAAAUCCUUUUUUUUUUUUCUCGUUUUAGCUUCUUCAACCUUUAUCGGCGGCGACUUAUUAUCUGGCAAACAUAUUUCCCGGCUGCGCGUGGUUGAAUUAUCAAUUGUUUCUUGUUGUCUCAUCGAUUGUAUUUCCGUCUUCCUUGGUGAACCUCAGGUGCAAAUUGGUUCACGUUUGAUUACGUUUUCGGGAAUGGAGGAACGCCAUGUUCUCGAAUUUUUGACGAAUCUGCUACCCCUUUGGUUGAUGCUUUGUGCAAGAGAUAUAAUGGAACAAUCCUCUCUUAUGGACAGGAAAAAUAUAAGCAGAUCCUACAGGUCAGGGUAAAUGUUUUUAAACCAUUAAAAUAAGCUUCAAGUUAUUCUAAUGAGAAUAAGAGAUAGUUAACUCGGGGAAGAUGGUUUCAGACGAGAUCAUAGUGGAUCUGUUGUCCAAGCGUCUUGAACCUGGAGAAGUUAAAGGUGAACCUGGAUACAUUAUUAAUGAAUUUCCUCGUACAAUUAGACAGUCGGGAAGAAGCAGUGGAAAGCUCAAUUUGUUGCAAUUGGGUUGGCUUGUGUCCUAGCAGUUCUUGCAGGAUCAUCCUGUGUUUUUUAAUUUUUAUUAGAGAAGAAGAAUGCAAGGUAAGAGUUUCAAUUUGCUUGUUGUUCAUAUAUUUCUUCUUUCGGGUUAUAUAGAAGCUUCGUAAUGUGCAAACUACAGAUUUUUGAGGAAUGGACAGUCCCUUGUUUGAUUUGGCUAGAAUACAAGCUGCCACAGAUAACUUCUCUGAGAAACAUAAGCUAGGAGAAGGUGGUUUUUGCCCUGUCUUCAAGGUAAGAAUUUGAAAGAACUGUUAAGGUUAAUCUUUGUGUUCAUGAUCUUUAUGGGAUGUCCUACAAAACGAAACCAAAGUUGUUGUCAAACGGCUUUCCAACACAUCUGAUCAAGGAACGAAUGAAUUUAAAAAUGAAGUUCUGCUAAUCAUGAAGCUUCAACACAAGAAUCUGGUCAGGCUGUUGAGAUUUUGUGUAGAGGGAGAUGAUCGAAAGGCUACUCAUCUAUGAACUUAUGACUUCUGGCCGCUUAGAUUCAUGGCUUUAUGAUCCAUAUAACAGUGCACAAAUGACAUGGAGGAAACAACUUGACAUCAUCAAUGGGAUUGCUUAUGGAGUCCUGUGUCUGCACAAGGAUUCAUACUAAAAGUCAUACACCGAGACUUAAAGACUAGCAAUAUACUGUUGGACUCAGACCUGAAUCCUAAGAUUUCAGACUUUGAAAAUGCCAGAAUCUAUGGAACUGAAACUGAAGAAAGCAUUGUCACUCCUACUGUACUUUGAUGAUCGGAAUGUUGCAAAUUAUGAUCUAGAACAAAUUGAUGAAGUCUUAUCUCAAUGGACGGGUCAUGUUCUUAUCGUGUGAAUAUUGUGGUGGAUUAAUUAUGUUUUUCGACUAUAAAUUGUCUACAAUGUUCUAAUUUUAGUGUGUUAAUUUGAAAUUAAAAGAAGUACUUUAUGACACAAAUACUUCUUUCUUUUUCUAUUGUUUUUUUUGUAGUGUGUUGACAAUAUUGCACAUGAUUUUAAGCUAUGAGACAUCUAGAUGUUUAUUUGAUAUGAUAGAAAUGAAAUUGGAUGUUAUAUUUUAAUUUGUAUAUAUUCAAUUCUUUUAAUA
Long non-coding RNA from Spinacia oleracea (spinach), 1908 nucleotides. RefSeq lists it as uncharacterized. The transcript is spliced from 8 exons. Lineage: Eukaryota; Viridiplantae; Streptophyta; Magnoliopsida; Caryophyllales; Amaranthaceae. The record is from RefSeq and is a predicted model, not a curated record.